This 577-nucleotide ribosomal RNA is filed under the name Yersinia enterocolitica. RNAcentral describes it as "partial 23S ribosomal RNA". It matches the Rfam family "Bacterial large subunit ribosomal RNA", at positions 1608 to 2165 of the family's 2925-position model. The record is from RNAcentral. Lineage: Bacteria; Pseudomonadati; Pseudomonadota; Gammaproteobacteria; Enterobacterales; Yersiniaceae.
CCAGGAAAAGCCUCUAAGCAUCAGGUAACAUGAAAUCGUACCCCAAACCGACACAGGUGGUCAGGUAGAGAAUACUCAGGCGCUUGAGAGAACUCGGGUGAAGGAACUAGGCAAAAUGGUGCCGUAACUUCGGGAGAAGGCACGCUGGCAUUAGGUAAAGGGACUUGCUCCCGGCGCCGAAGCCAGUCGCAGAUACCAGCUGGCUGCAACUGUUUAAUAAAAACACAGCACUGUGCAAACACGAAAGUGGACGUAUACGGUGUGACGCCUGCCCGGUGCUGGAAGGUUAAUUGAUGGGGUCAGCCGCAAGGCGAAGCUCUUGAUCGAAGCCCCAGUAAACGGCGGCCGUAACUAUAACGGUCCUAAGGUAGCGAAAUUCCUUGUCGGGUAAGUUCCGACCUGCACGAAUGGCGUAAUGAUGGCCAGGCUGUCUCCACCCGAGACUCAGUGAAAUUGAACUCGCUGUGAAGAUGCAGUGUACCCGCGGCAAGACGGAAAGACCCCGUGAACCUUUACUAUAGCUUGACACUGAACAUUGAGCCUUGAUGUGUAGGAUAGGUGGGAGGCAUAGAAGUGU